RNAcentral lists this ribosomal RNA (497 nucleotides) under uncultured bacterium. RNAcentral's name for it is "partial 16S ribosomal RNA". It matches the Rfam family "Bacterial small subunit ribosomal RNA", at positions 28 to 507 of the family's 1533-position model. The record is from RNAcentral.
GAUGAACGCUGGCGGCGUGCCUAAUACAUGCAAGUCGAGCGAACAGACGAGGAGCUUGCUCCUCUGACGUUAGCGGCGGACGGGUGAGUAACACGUGGAUAACCUACCUAUAAGACUGGGAUAACUUCGGGAAACCGGAGCUAAUACCGGAUAACAUGUUGAACCGCAUGGUUCAACAGUGAAAGACGGUCUUGCUGUCACUUAUAGAUGGAUCCGCGCCGCAUUAGCUAGUUGGUAAGGUAACGGGUUACCAAGGCAACGAUGCGUAGCCGACCUGAGAGGGUGAUCGGCCACACUGGAACUGAGACACGGUCCAGACUCCUACGGGAGGCAGCAGUAGGGAAUCUUCCGCAAUGGGCGAAAGCCUGACGGAGCAACGCCGCGUGAGUGAAGAAGGUCUUCGGAUCGUAAAACUCUGUUAUUAGGGAAGAACAAAUGUGUAAGUAACUAUGCACGUCUUGACGGUACCUAAUCAGAAAGCCACGGCUAACUACGUG